CGGGGUUACACACAUUAGAGGUUCCUAUCUGAUUUGAUAGCUGGUGAAGAGUUCUUCAUGUUUGAGAUUCUGUGAUCGAGAAUCAAGAUUCUCUGAUCAUGAAUUUCACACAUUUUGGGUACCGGGGUCAAGAGUCCCACUGGUUUAGGAUUCUUCGAUCAGGAUUACAUAUCGAUGAAUUCUGAUGUCCGAUUAUCCAUCGGAUUUGGACUCAAUAUUUAUGAGAGAUUUAAUUAGUGAUUUGAUCGCUAAUUAACUCAAUUUGAUUGAGUAAUUAAUUUUGGAUCAAGUCCAAUUGAAUUGGAUUCAGUUGGAUUUGACCCAAUUAGGUUAAGAGUUGACCUAAUCGUCGAGAUGGUUUGAUCCCUGAUAUGAUCAGUGGUUGGGCUUAAUCAAUUCCUGAUUUAAUUAGGAUUUUAUUGAGCCUAAUUAAGCCUAAUUAAGUUGGAUUUAAAUUAGUCUAAUUGGGCCUAACUUAUUUGGUUCAAUUAGGUUGGUUUAAAUAAUGAAACCCCCUUGACCCAUUCUCCCUACGCCACCUCACUUCCUCUGCGCCCAUUUGAAUUCACGAGAAAGAAGUUCUCAUGAAUUUUUCCUCACGCAAAGCCCUCCUCACGUCCUACUUUAAUGCGCCAAAUGAGUGGAUAAGGAUGAUUAGUUGGCCAUUCAAAUUCAAAACAAAAGUUUGAAUUUGAAUGAGCAACCAAUCUUAGCGCCUUGACC
RNAcentral lists this long non-coding RNA (723 nucleotides) under Elaeis guineensis (African oil palm). RNAcentral's name for it is "long non-coding RNA (EGUI_LNC078855)". The record is from RNAcentral. Lineage: Eukaryota; Viridiplantae; Streptophyta; Magnoliopsida; Arecales; Arecaceae.